UAAAAAAAAAAAAAAAAAACUCUGCCUGCCUUCCGGUGCUCCUCACCGCCGUUCGGCGCACGGACGCCAUCGACCAUUGGGCAUGCCGCUGACCUCCAGCGCCGCGCACUCCGCCUCCACCUCCACCUCCACCUCCACCAGCGGUGGAAACGCUUUGGCUCAGCUGGUACUCCCCAUAAUAAAAGCAACCGGGCGUGUGCCGAGGAGCCUCUACUGAUUUGGCCACGCGCGGCUCCAAUCUGCUGGUACAUGGUGCUGCGAAAAGUCUACGUAAAUCCCGAUGGCUGGCAUGGAACAGAGUUUUCUUGCCUCCGCCCCCGAUCUUUCUCACCAUAUGGUACCCAACUCUAUAGGUGUAGUUUCACUUCGAAUUAUAUAUUAUGCUUCCGUUCAAAUGUUGAAUCCAGUACUUGCUCAUUUGCCUACUUCACUGAAAACAGGAUUCUCAUUUUUCACAUUAUUCAUAUUUUUCACAUA
This is a long non-coding RNA of Hordeum vulgare subsp. vulgare (domesticated barley), 477 nucleotides long. RefSeq lists it as uncharacterized. Lineage: Eukaryota; Viridiplantae; Streptophyta; Magnoliopsida; Poales; Poaceae. The record is from RefSeq and is a predicted model, not a curated record. The transcript is spliced from 2 exons.